This 1372-nucleotide ribosomal RNA is filed under the name uncultured bacterium. RNAcentral's name for it is "bacterial SSU rRNA". It matches the Rfam family "Bacterial small subunit ribosomal RNA", at positions 28 to 1381 of the family's 1533-position model. The record is from RNAcentral.
GAUGAACGCUGGCGGCGUGCCUAAUACAUGCAAGUCGAGCGAACGGACGAGAAGCUUGCUUCUCUGAUGUUAGCGGCGGACGGGUGAGUAACACGUGGAUAACCUACCUAUAAGACUGGGAUAACUUCGGGAAACCGGAGCUAAUACCGGAUAAUAUUUUGAACCGCAUGGUUCAAAAGUGAAAGACGGUCUUGCUGUCACUUAUAGAUGGAUCCGCGCUGCAUUAGCUAGUUGGUAAGGUAACGGCUUACCAAGGCAACGAUGCAUAGCCGACCUGAGAGGGUGAUCGGCCACACUGGAACUGAGACACGGUCCAGACUCCUACGGGAGGCAGCAGUAGGGAAUCUUCCGCAAUGGGCGAAAGCCUGACGGAGCAACGCCGCGUGAGUGAUGAAGGUCUUCGGAUCGUAAAACUCUGUUAUUAGGGAAGAACAUAUGUGUAAGUAACUGUGCACAUCUUGACGGUACCUAAUCAGAAAGCCACGGCUAACUACGUGCCAGCAGCCGCGGUAAUACGUAGGUGGCAAGCGUUAUCCGGAAUUAUUGGGCGUAAAGCGCGCGUAGGCGGUUUUUUAAGUCUGAUGUGAAAGCCCACGGCUCAACCGUGGAGGGUCAUUGGAAACUGGAAAACUUGAGUGCAGAAGAGGAAAGUGGAAUUCCAUGUGUAGCGGUGAAAUGCGCAGAGAUAUGGAGGAACACCAGUGGCGAAGGCGACUUUCUGGUCUGUAACUGACGCUGAUGUGCGAAAGCGUGGGGAUCAAACAGGAUUAGAUACCCUGGUAGUCCACGCCGUAAACGAUGAGUGCUAAGUGUUAGGGGGUUUCCGCCCCUUAGUGCUGCAGCUAACGCAUUAAGCACUCCGCCUGGGGAGUACGACCGCAAGGUUGAAACUCAAAGGAAUUGACGGGGACCCGCACAAGCGGUGGAGCAUGUGGUUUAAUUCGAAGCAACGCGAAGAACCUUACCAAAUCUUGACAUCCUCUGACAACUCUAGAGAUAGAGCCUUCCCCUUCGGGGGACAAAGUGACAGGUGGUGCAUGGUUGUCGUCAGCUCGUGUCGUGAGAUGUUGGGUUAAGUCCCGCAACGAGCGCAACCCUUAAGCUUAGUUGCCAUCAUUAAGUUGGGCACUCUAAGUUGACUGCCGGUGACAAACCGGAGGAAGGUGGGGAUGACGUCAAAUCAUCAUGCCCCUUAUGAUUUGGGCUACACACGUGCUACAAUGGACAAUACAAAGGGCAGCGAAACCGCGAGGUCAAGCAAAUCCCAUAAAGUUGUUCUCAGUUCGGAUUGUAGUCUGCAACUCGACUACAUGAAGCUGGAAUCGCUAGUAAUCGUAGAUCAGCAUGCUACGGUGAAUACGUUCCCGGAUCU